UACGUAGGUGGCAAGCGUUAUCCGGAAUUAUUGGGCGUAAAGCGCGCGUAGGCGGUUUUUUAAGUCUGAUGUGAAGGCCCACGGCUCAGCCGUGGAGGGUCAUUGGAAACUGGAAAACUUGAGUGCAGAAGAGGAAAGUGGAAUUCCAUGUGUAGCGGUGAAAUGCGCAGAGAUAUGGAGGAACACCAGUGGCGAAGGCGACUUUCUGGUCUGUAACUGACGCUGAUGUGCGAAAGCGUGGGGAUCAAACA
RNAcentral lists this ribosomal RNA (251 nucleotides) under uncultured Staphylococcus sp. RNAcentral's name for it is "partial 16S ribosomal RNA". It matches the Rfam family "Bacterial small subunit ribosomal RNA", at positions 524 to 774 of the family's 1533-position model. Lineage: Bacteria; Bacillati; Bacillota; Bacilli; Caryophanales; Staphylococcaceae. The record is from RNAcentral.